Molecule: ribosomal RNA, 207 nt
Filed under: uncultured bacterium
Lineage: Bacteria
Description: partial 16S ribosomal RNA
Rfam family: Bacterial small subunit ribosomal RNA
Source: RNAcentral
UGCGUAGGCGGCGCGGAAAGUCAGAUGUGAAAUCCGGGGGCUCAACCCCCGAAUGGCAUCCGAAACUCCCGCGCUCGAGAUUUGUAGAGGAGCCUGGAACUCUCGGUGUAGCAGUGAAAUGCGUGGAUAUCGAGAAGAACGCUCGUAGCGAAGGCGAGGCUCUGGGCAAAUUCUGACGCUGAGGCACGAAGGCCAGGGGAGCAAACG